RNAcentral lists this ribosomal RNA (492 nucleotides) under uncultured bacterium. RNAcentral describes it as "partial 16S ribosomal RNA". It matches the Rfam family "Bacterial small subunit ribosomal RNA", at positions 29 to 507 of the family's 1533-position model. The record is from RNAcentral.
AGUGAACGCUGGCGGUAGGCCUAACACAUGCAAGUCGAACGGCAGCACAGUAAGAGCUUGCUCUUGCGGGUGGCGAGUGGCGGACGGGUGAGGAAUACAUCGGAAUCUACUUUUUCGUGGGGGAUAACGUAGGGAAACUUACGCUAAUACCGCAUACGACCUACGGGUGAAAGCAGGGGAUCUUCGGACCUUGCGCGAUUGAAUGAGCCGAUGCCGGAUUAGCUAGUUGGCGGGGUAAAGGCCCACCAAGGCGACGAUCCGUAGCUGGUCUGAGAGGAUGAUCAGCCACACUGGAACUGAGACACGGUCCAGACUCCUACGGGAGGCAGCAGUGGGGAAUAUUGGACAAUGGGCGCAAGCCUGAUCCAGCCAUACCGCGUGGGUGAAGAAGGCCUUCGGGUUGUAAAGCCCUUUUGUUGGGAAAGAAAAGCAGCAGGUUAAUACCCCGCUGUUCUGACGGUACCCAAAGAAUAAGCACCGGCUAACUUCGUG